CAGUCGCCGCGGGAAUACGAAGGGUGCAAGCGUUAAUCAGAAUUACUGGGCGUAAAGCGUGCGUAGGCGGUGAGUUAAGUCUGCUGUGAAAUCCCCGGGCUCAACCUGGGAAUGGCAGUGGAUACUGGCUCGCUAGAGUGUGUCAGAGGAUGGUGGAAUUCCCGGUGUAGCGGUGAAAUGCGUAGAGAUCGGGAGGAACAUCAGUGGCGAAGGCGGCCAUCUGGAACAACACUGACGCUGAGGCACGAAAGCGUGGGGAGCAAACAGGAUUAGAUACCCCCGUAGUCCCUGUCUCUUAUAC
Molecule: ribosomal RNA, 301 nt
Filed under: uncultured bacterium
Lineage: Bacteria
Description: partial 16S ribosomal RNA
Rfam family: Bacterial small subunit ribosomal RNA
Source: RNAcentral